UCAAUCUUCACUGUCAAAGGUUUUGUAGUUGAUAAACAUGUGACAAUAUUCUCUUAGAAAUAUUUAAAUCGUUCAGAGUGAGAUACUCAUUAAAUUCUGCAGGGGAAUUGGUUUCCAGUUCAGAUUAGCGGAAGAAACAUUUCUGUGCAAAGCUGCGACACACCUUAAAUGGUCCUAUGCUGAAUGACUCAACUUCCAAAUACUUUUAUAUUGGGUGAACAAAUAAACAAGCGACUGACUUUGCGGUAUACUCAACUUGGACCCACGGGCAAAUUACUGGAGAUGAUUGCAGCGAAUUCUUACUGAGCCUUGAAAGACGGGGUGAAAGUCGUCUCAAAAAAGAGACCAGCUUGGACCUGUAUAAGGUGCAUCAAGAUUUAAUAAUGCCAACUUGUCCAUUCUCAUUAGAAGCUUAUCAAAAACUAUAUGACUUUAUUUCGCCGUAUUUAUUCGGAAAAUCUGUUAAAUGCAUUUAGGUCUAUGAACCCAGUAAUGCAAUGCAAUGUGGAGUAUUUGAUGUCAAUAUCCCUUGUGGAUUUCAUUCAAAUUCAAAGUUUUUGUUACUAAAAUUUCAAAACGUACUUUGCAUUGGAAGCUUGUAAGUUGUUUGGAGUUGAAGGAAUACUUCUGGAUAGUUGCUCUGCACUACGAGUUUCUCCUUGCAUUUCAAGUUGAUUAGAACAUGAAGUAACUGUGCGUCCAAUUCUCCAGUCCAGACUGUUACUUUGGGAAGCUCUUAAUCCUAAAAAAUAUUGUCACAUACAACGAAAGCUAAAAUUUUCCUAGACGCCAAUCCAGGGAAUUGGAAUUCCUAUUAACGGCAUAAAUAUUAUCACAAGAUUUCGUCGAGAAGUAAGCUGAAUUUUGACGUCGUUUCAAGAGCCUCAGGACUGGUCCAGUAUUCCUGAAUUGGAAUAAAUAUAUACAGGCAUUUAUAACAGUAUCCAACUGAUAGUUGUUAGCUCUAUAAAUUCUGAAAUCAUUUCACAAAAUCAAUUUUUUUUGCAUACUUUUUGCACUUGUGUGACUGUUCAACAACCGGUGGUCGAUU
This is a long non-coding RNA of Athalia rosae (coleseed sawfly), 1051 nucleotides long. RefSeq lists it as uncharacterized. The record is from RefSeq and is a predicted model, not a curated record. NCBI's taxonomy places the organism in Eukaryota, Metazoa, Arthropoda, Insecta, Hymenoptera, Athaliidae. The transcript has 3 exons.